Molecule: non-coding RNA, 30 nt
Filed under: Homo sapiens (human)
Lineage: Eukaryota; Metazoa; Chordata; Mammalia; Primates; Hominidae
Source: RNAcentral
UGGAUAAAGAGUCAAGACCCGUCAGUGUGC